Long non-coding RNA from Larimichthys crocea (large yellow croaker), 262 nucleotides. RefSeq lists it as uncharacterized. Lineage: Eukaryota; Metazoa; Chordata; Actinopteri; Sciaenidae. The record is from RefSeq and is a predicted model, not a curated record. The transcript is spliced from 3 exons.
ACACACAGACAGGACAUGUCCGUCCAGCAGGAGGAGCUGUCUGUGCUGCGGUUGGAGGCUCAGGCUCUGAGAGACAGACAGGUGGAGCGUGAGGUGGAGCUUCAGCAGCUCAGGGAGGAGCUUACCCAACAGGUGACUCUGAGACAGUUGCAGUGUGGUGCUCUGCAGUCAGCUGUGGAUAAAGAGAAACAGAUCAGAGAGAUCAACGAGUGUCAGCUUCACACCACCAUACACACACUGCAGGUCAGUACACACACACACA